This 394-nucleotide long non-coding RNA is filed under the name Mustela putorius furo (domestic ferret). RNAcentral describes it as "lncRNA (ENSMPUG00000024612.1)". Lineage: Eukaryota; Metazoa; Chordata; Mammalia; Carnivora; Mustelidae. The record is from RNAcentral.
UCCCACAGGUGAAAUAACAGCUGGAACUUACCAGAAUUCUACUCGUCAAAGAAUCUGCAUGCAGUGGCAUAAAACUAACACAGGUGCCCCAGCAUGCUGACAAAGAAUAAAUAGAAGCACAUGUUCUGAAAGAAAUCUGUAGUUUUACAUGUCUUGCUGACUCAGGAGAGGAAAGACAUCUUUGCCUCUUAACCAGUUGUCCUCGCCACCCCCUCAGCCCCGAACUGCCGCUGGCUCUGGUAAGUUAGCAAGCAAUGCCAACAAGUGGGAAAUAAUCGAUCCUUAUACCUAACACUUUAAAUCAAAAGCAUUUAAUAAUUUUCACCAACUGUCCAAAAUAUUGCUGUUUCCGGUGGUUAAAAUGCUGUUUGUGGGGGAUACUGAGAUUAUUUAC